This 506-nucleotide ribosomal RNA is filed under the name uncultured bacterium. Its description in RNAcentral is "partial 16S ribosomal RNA". It matches the Rfam family "Bacterial small subunit ribosomal RNA", at positions 28 to 523 of the family's 1533-position model. The record is from RNAcentral.
GAUGAACGCUAGCUACAGGCUUAACACAUGCAAGUCGAGGGGUAACAAGAGAAAAGCUUGCUUUUCUUGUUGACGACCGGCGCACGGGUGAGUAACGCGUAUCCAACCUGCCUAUAACUAGGGAAUAACCUUGCGAAAGUAAGACUAAUACCCUAUGAUUUCCUUUGAUGACAUCAGAUUAGGAAUAAAGAUUUAUCGGUUAUAGAUGGGGAUGCGUCUGAUUAGCUUGUUGGCGGGGUAACGGCCCACCAAGGCAACGAUCAGUAGGGGUUCUGAGAGGAAGGUCCCCCACAUUGGAACGGAGACACGGUCCAAACUCCUACGGGAGGCAGCAGUGAGGAAUAUUGGUCAAUGGGCGGAAGCCUGAACCAGCCAGGUAGCGUGCAGGAUGACGGCCCUAUGGGUUGUAAACUGCUUUUAUACAGGAAUAAAGUUAGCCACGUGUGGUUAUUUGUAGGUACUGUAUGAAUAAGGACCGGCUAAUUCCGUGCCAGCCGCCGCAGUAA